GUGUCAGCAGCCGCGGUAAUACGGAGGGUGCAAGCGUUGUUCGGAAUCACUGGGCGUAAAGGGCGCGUAGGCGGCCCAGCAAGUCGGAUGUGAAAGCCCUGGGCUCAACCCAGGAAGUGCAUCCGAUACUACUGGGCUUGAGUACGGGAGAGGGAAGUGGAAUUCCCGGUGUAGGGGUGAAAUCCGUAGAUAUCGGGAGGAACACCGGUGGCGAAGGCGACUUCCUGGACCGCUACUGACGCUGAGGCGCGAAAGCGUGGGGAGCAAACAGGAUUAGAUACCCUGGUAGUCCACGCCGUAAACGGUGGGCAAUAGGUGUGGGGCCUUUAAUGGUUCCGUGCCGAAGGGAAACCAAUAAGUGCCCCGCCUGGGAAGUACGGCCGCAAGGCUGAAACUCAAAUGAAUUGACGGGG
RNAcentral lists this ribosomal RNA (413 nucleotides) under uncultured prokaryote. RNAcentral's name for it is "bacterial SSU rRNA". It matches the Rfam family "Bacterial small subunit ribosomal RNA", at positions 505 to 918 of the family's 1533-position model. The record is from RNAcentral.